CGGCGAGUGAAGCGGCAACAGCUCAAAUUUGAAAUCUGGCCCUCGGGUCCGAGUUGUAAUUUGUAGAGGAUGCUUUUGGUGCGGUGCCUUCCGAGUUCCCUGGAACGGGACGCCAUAGAGGGUGAGAGCCCCGUCUGGUUGGACACCAAGCCUCUGUAAAGCUCCUUCGACGAGUCGAGUAGUUUGGGAAUGCUGCUCUAAAUGGGAGGUAUAUGUCUUCUAAAGCUAAAUAUCGGCCAGAGACCGAUAGCGCACAAGUAGAGUGAUCGAAAGAUGAAAAGCACUUUGAAAAGAGGGUUAAAUAGUACGUGAAAUUGUUGAAAGGGAAGCGCUUGUGACCAGACUUGAGCCCGGUUAAUCAUCCAGCCUUCUGGCUGGUGCACUUGGCCGGCUCAGGCCAGCAUCAGUUCGGCGUGGGGGAUAAAGGUUUCGGGAAUGUGGCUCCUCCGGGAGUGUUAUAGCCCGUUGCGUAAUACCCUGUACUGGACUGAGGUUCGCGCAUCUGCAAGGAUGCUGGCGUAAUGGUCAUCAGCGACCCGUCUUGAAACACGGACCAAGGAGUCGUCUUCGUAUGCGAGUGUUCGGGUGUCAAACCCCUACGCGUAAUGAAAGUGAACGCAGGUGAGAGCUUCGGCGCAUCAUCGACCGAUCCUGAUGUUCUCGGACGGAUUUGAGUAAGAGCAUACGGGGCCGGACCCGAAAGAAGGUGAACUAUGCCUGUAUAGGGUGAAGCCAGAGGAAACUCUGGUGGAGGCUCGCAGCGGUUCUGACGUGCAAAUCGAUCGUCAAAUAU
Molecule: ribosomal RNA, 793 nt
Filed under: Cosmospora viridescens
Lineage: Eukaryota; Fungi; Ascomycota; Sordariomycetes; Hypocreales; Nectriaceae
Description: eukaryotic LSU rRNA
Rfam family: Eukaryotic large subunit ribosomal RNA
Source: RNAcentral